RNAcentral lists this long non-coding RNA (1304 nucleotides) under Monodelphis domestica (gray short-tailed opossum). RNAcentral's name for it is "lncRNA (ENSMODG00000031902.2)". The record is from RNAcentral. Lineage: Eukaryota; Metazoa; Chordata; Mammalia; Didelphimorphia; Didelphidae.
UUAAAGAUCUUCAUGGCAAAAUGAAGGUCAAGGGUCUCAUAAAAUUCUUGAUGUUCUGAAUUUGCCAAUCUAAAGUCAAUCUUCAAACUCUAAAACAAAGGUGCAAUAAAAAGGUAAACAUUCACUUGUUUUUUUUCUCCAUUUUUCAUAUCUAUGAAACAAACCAAUGAAUUCCUGCACUCUAGAGUAAGCCCUAUGACACCAAAGUCGCACAGCUGAGCAGGUAGUAAAAACAAGUACUAGAACCCAGUUCUUUUCUUUAUUCAGGAUUUCUUUCACUCAACAAUUCUCCUUUGCUUUGGUUUGCUUUAAUUUUGCAAAUAUAUCCUCCUGAAAGAAUAAUACUUCUGGUUUCAUGGCCAUUUGCCUUAGGUACUACUUUGUGCUUGCUACUCCAUUUCCAAGACAGUUUUCCCAAAGGUCUCAUGUCUGCUCAUGAAAUCAUUUCAUUUUACCUACUAGAUUGUUUCUGUAUGUGCUAUUCUAAUACAAGGGUUCUAUCAUUUUUUUACAGCUCCCAGACUUGUUUUCAUCAGCUGACACUUUGAUAAAGAAAAAUGAAAAAUCCUCUAACUUAAGGAUACAUGAUAUUACUGUUAAAGAAGCAAAGAACUAUCUUCUUCGAAUCUUAAACAUCAUAUCAAUAGAUACACUAGGUAGUCAAGCAGCAGCGUAUACUCAGCCUAUUGUCUUAGAGAGGAGAAAAAUUCAGGACCCCAAAAGAAUGAUUAAAAUCCUCCACCAGAGCUUAUUAACACGCUCCAGAUCAAUAACAUCAAAAGAGAAGUUGGUUGUACCUUCCAAAGUAUUUUCCCAGUAUUCAAGAAUCCCUGAGCCAUUGCACACUUAUCCUUAUGAGCUUCUGGUCCAGAAAUGUCUCCCUCUUAUGCUACCAUUAGUGAUAAGAGAUAAUAUUCUUAAUGAGAAGAUUUUAUGUAGGUUAGUUCUUUUUAAUGUUGCCCCUCCCAAAGCAAAAGUCUUUGCACCACAAACAAAGAGGCCAAAAUUCUCUCGGAAAUUGCUCCAGCCAGAAAAACAAUUCAUGGAUCUAAGAGACCUUCAAUGGAAAUAUUAUAAGGGUAUUUUGAAGUGGAAUCAAAAAUUACCAUUGAUAUUCAAGGAGAUACCUCCUAUUCUUGAAAAAAGAUUUGUAUCAGAAAUGAUCUCAUCAGAUUAUCAACCCACCUUUAUUUUCCCGCAUGAAAAAAUCAUUGUAACUGAUACACCAUAAAGAGUGGGUUGUUUGAAUUAAGUAGAACCUUCCAUUAAAUAAAACUGUGCAUCCAUGGUUAUGAUUUUUAGAU